This is a small nucleolar RNA of Octodon degus (degu), 126 nucleotides long. Lineage: Eukaryota; Metazoa; Chordata; Mammalia; Rodentia; Octodontidae. The record is from Ensembl.
CCCUCCUACAAAGGCAUGUCUUGGCUUCCUUUUCUUUGGACACAUUAGAAUUGGAGGCAAAAAAAAUGUUGAUUUGGAGACAUCAGGGCCAACCUGCUCUCCACAGCCUCCUAAAAUUACAAAAAA